UACUCCACUUUCUCUGAAGAUCAGAUAAAUCUUUUACCUUUUACUGAAGAUUUUUGUGCAGAGGAAUGACUCUGCACCCCUAAAGCCAAUUUUUUGAGGCCUCGUUUCAGCAAGGCU
Molecule: small nuclear RNA, 117 nt
Organism: Nycticebus coucang (slow loris)
Lineage: Eukaryota; Metazoa; Chordata; Mammalia; Primates; Lorisidae
Product: U5 spliceosomal RNA
Exons: 1
Source: RefSeq, a predicted model, not a curated record